GAUGAACGCUAGCGGCGUGCCUAAUACAUGCAAGUCGAGCGAACAGACGAGGAGCUUGCUCCUCUGAUGUUAGCGGCGGACGGGUGAGUAACACGUGGAUAACCUACCUAUAAGACUGGGAUAACUUCGGGAAACCGGAGCUAAUACCGGAUAACAUGUUGAACCGCAUGGUUCAACAGUGAAAGACGGUCUUGCUGUCACUUAUAGAUGGAUCCGCGCCGCAUUAGCUAGUUGGUAAGGUAACGGCUUACCAAGGCAACGAUGCGUAGCCGACCUGAGAGGGUGAUCGGCCACACUGGAACUGAGACACGGUCCAGACUCCUACGGGAGGCAGCAGUAGGGAAUCUUCCGCAAUGGGCGAAAGCCUGACGGAGCAACGCCGCGUGAGUGAAGAAGGUCUUCGGAUCGUAAAACUCUGUUAUUAGGGAAGAACAAAUGUGUAAGUAACUAUGCACGUCUUGACGGUACCUAAUCAGAAAGCCACGGCUAACUACGUG
RNAcentral lists this ribosomal RNA (497 nucleotides) under uncultured bacterium. Its description in RNAcentral is "partial 16S ribosomal RNA". It matches the Rfam family "Bacterial small subunit ribosomal RNA", at positions 28 to 507 of the family's 1533-position model. The record is from RNAcentral.